This 403-nucleotide ribosomal RNA is filed under the name uncultured bacterium. Its description in RNAcentral is "partial 16S ribosomal RNA". It matches the Rfam family "Bacterial small subunit ribosomal RNA", at positions 30 to 526 of the family's 1533-position model. The record is from RNAcentral.
AUUGAACGCUGGCGGCAGGCCUAACACAUGCAAGUCGAGCGACCGGCGGACGGGUGAGUACUGUCUGGGGACUGCCCGUUAGAGGGGGAUAACUAAUAGAAACGCUAACUCAUACCGCCUCCUAUCGGAUUACCACUAUGGGAUUAGCUAGUAGGUGGGGUAAUGGCUCACCUAGGCGACGAUCCCUAGCUGGUCUGAGAGGAUGAUCAGUCACACUGGGACUGAGACACGGCCCAGACUCCUACGGAGGCAGCAGUGGGGAAUAUUGCACAAUGGGCGCAAGCCUGAUGCAGCCAUGCCGCGUGUAUGAAGAAGGCCUUAGGUUUGUAAAGUACUUUCAGUCGGGAGGCGUUACCGACAGAAGAAGCACCGGCUAACUUCGUGCCAGCAGCCGCGGUAAUUC